RNAcentral lists this ribosomal RNA (468 nucleotides) under uncultured bacterium. RNAcentral's name for it is "partial 16S ribosomal RNA". It matches the Rfam family "Bacterial small subunit ribosomal RNA", at positions 28 to 507 of the family's 1533-position model. The record is from RNAcentral.
GACGAACGCUGGCGGCGUGCUUAACACAUGCAAGUCGAACGGAAAGGCCCUGCUUUUGUGGGGUGCUCGAGUGGCGAACGGGUGAGUAACACGUGAGUAACCUGCCCUUGACUAUGGGAUAACUUCAGGAAACUGGGGCUAAUACCGGAUAGGAGCUCCUGCUGCAUGGUGGGGGUUGGAAAGUUUCGGCGGUUGGGGAUGGACUCGCGGCUUAUCAGCUUGUUGGUGGGGUAGUGGCUUACCAAGGCUUUGAUGGGUAGCCGGCCUGAGAGGGUGACCGGCCACAUUGGGACUGAGAUACGGCCCAGACUCCUACGGGAGGCAGCAGUGGGGAAUAUUGCACAAUGGGCGGAAGCCUGAUGCAGCAACGCCGCGUGCGGGAUGACGGCCUUCGGGUUGUAAACCGCUUUCGCCUGUGACGAAGCGUGAGUGACGGUAAUGGGUAAAGAAGCACCGGCUAACUACGUG